This 77-nucleotide ribosomal RNA is filed under the name Aliivibrio fischeri. Its description in RNAcentral is "partial 16S ribosomal RNA". The stretch from base 1 to 67 matches the Rfam family "Bacterial small subunit ribosomal RNA", at positions 1467 to 1533 of the family's 1533-position model. The record is from RNAcentral. Lineage: Bacteria; Pseudomonadati; Pseudomonadota; Gammaproteobacteria; Vibrionales; Vibrionaceae.
GUUCAUGACUGGGGUGAAGUCGUAACAAGGUAGCCCUAGGGGAACCUGGGGCUGGAUCACCUCCUUAAACGAUAGAU